AUUGAACGCUGGCGGCAGGCCUAACACAUGCAAGUCGAGCGGUUGAGGUAGCUUGCUACCGAUGCAGCGGCGAACGGGUGAGUAAUGCAUGGGAAUCUGCCUGGUAGUGGGGGACAACGUUUCGAAAGGAACGCUAAUACCGCAUACGCCCUACGGGGGAAAGGGGGGGAUCGCAAGACCUCUCGCUAUCAGAUGAGCCCAUGUCAGAUUAGCUAGUUGGUGAGGUAAAGGCUCACCAAGGCGACGAUCUGUAACUGGUCUGAGAGGAUGAUCGGUCACACUGGAACUGAGACACGGUCCAGACUCCUACGGGAGGCAGCAGUGGGGAAUAUUGGACAAUGGGGGCAACCCUGAUCCAGCCAUGCCGCGUGUGUGAAGAAGGCCUUAGGGUUGUAAAGCACUUUCAGUGGGGAGAAAGGUGAUUCACCUAAUACGUGAGUCAAUUGAUGCUACCCACAGAAGAAGCACCGGCUAACUCCGUGCCAGCCGCCGCGGUAA
RNAcentral lists this ribosomal RNA (498 nucleotides) under uncultured bacterium. Its description in RNAcentral is "partial 16S ribosomal RNA". It matches the Rfam family "Bacterial small subunit ribosomal RNA", at positions 30 to 523 of the family's 1533-position model. The record is from RNAcentral.